Long non-coding RNA from Passer domesticus (house sparrow), 2797 nucleotides. RefSeq lists it as uncharacterized. Lineage: Eukaryota; Metazoa; Chordata; Aves; Passeriformes; Passeridae. The record is from RefSeq and is a predicted model, not a curated record. The transcript has 4 exons.
UGCAGCAUCAUGUGGAUGUGUGCCUAUUUCCUAGGGCCAGCCAGGGAACAGUGCAAGGUGUGACAUAGGUGAGCACCAACUGAAAUGUCACAAGAGAAAGUCGGGGCCCAGAGGAGGAGAAUGAGAGCCCAGCAUGGAAGGUUAACAUGUUGACUGCCACCAAAGCAUGUGGAUCAUGGAUAGGAAACAGCACCCCUCUACACUGGGCAGCACUCUGAGACAGUGACCCAAUGACUUGUCUGAAGCAGGGUUGAGAGUGCUCCAGCUCCAGUGCCCCAAGGCACCAGCUGAAUGCUGCAUUAUGCACUCACAGACUUCACUGACAGGAUCUUCUCCUGAUUUAUGUUGGUUCUACUCUCAUUUGGUUGUGUCUCUGUCCUUCAGAGCGCAAAGCUGUUUUAGCAUAUAGACUACAUGAGCACUCUUGAGAACAACCAUCUUUUCCCUGGUGCUUAUGCCCUUCGAUCUCAAUAUUUCAGAAUUCUUUCAAACAUCACCUUUCUUUCUCCCAGUGUUGGCCUGAGUGACUCUUAGGGCAGAAGGCAAUUCAGCUUAGACACGCUGACAUUCCUUGCUCUGACACUUUCUCACGUGAGAUUGUUUUACUGACCACUCAGCUUCUAAAUACCCGUGGCCAGAUUUGUUUUCUACCACUCUGUUACUGCUGGAAUCAGCUGGGAGGACAUAUUUCACUUGCUGCUAUGAAGCACUGGAAUGAUAUUUAGACUCCUGACUUCUACUGAGAAGACAGAAUGCACCCUUGGCCUGUCAGAAGCAAAACACCCUAAAUCAGGGUCCUGUUGACUUAGGUCAAGUAGAAUUAAAGAAACACAUCACCAAAGGCACAUCUUUAAAGCCAGUUUAUUUCUCUACCAUUCCACCAUGGUAGCUGUCGUCAAUACUUGCUGUUAUCUUUGGAGCAAGAACAUCAUUAGCAGGUUUAUUGCUUAUUAAUGCCAUGUUGAGGAUUGUUUAUUUCAGCUGGCAGUUGAUAUCUAAAAGAAUGGCUUAAGGACAAAAAUAUACAUUUCAGUCUGAGGAACUCAUUAAUGAUACUUUAAUCCACCGGAGUCUUAGGUUUUAUUUUCCUCUACUCAGCACUGGGAAAUUUUUUUUCUUGACUUGUCCUCUCUGAACUUGCCGAGCACGAGUUCCAAAUCCCAGAGACUGCAUUGAUUCUGUUAAGUACUUUUGGCCAGGAGAGAUGCACAGCAUCACCAACAGUUUAGCAUCACCUCCUAAAAGCAAGAGAAAGACAAAACUUACUUAUUUACCUCAUUAUUUUCAGUAAGUUAUACAUUGUUACCAUACUGAUCUGCACAACAUGAGCACAGGUUACCAUUGCUUUCAUGAAGCAGAAGACUGCUCCUGAAAAGGGCUGUUGAAACAGACAGCUCCUUCAUGGGGAGUCUGUAUCUAACAAUAUGAUAUUUACCCCCAAAUGUUUCACAAUUUGUAAUGUUACAAUUUUUUUCCCCUAUUAGCAGCUUCAUUAGUUAAUCAUCAUGUAUGUUAUGGCUCUGGACACUUAUUUAAGUUCUGUCAAAUAUUUGUAAAUUUUGGGUAAUGGCAAAAUGGCUUGUUUGACAAUAAAACAAAACAGACUUUAAGUUUAUAGACAAUGAUUAAACAAAGGAAGAAAUGGCCAUUUUCAACACUUAACCAAAGUCAUGUAACAGACUUAGUUAAAAUCAGGCUGAGUGCCUGUACAACAUAGCUCUCACUUCUCUUUUUGGCUUUCCCUUUUCACAGUAGGGACUCCAGUAUGAAGUGAAAAUCAAAGCUUAAGCAAAAAAUUAAUAGCAUUUCAGAAACUCUGGAGAACUGUUACCUCAUUCACUGUCAAUGCCUUGAACUGGAGAUUAAAAGCAUAAGGGCUAAUUUUUUCUGGGUGAAGAAAAAUGAACCAGUGUACUACACAUAUGGGCACAAAUCUGACAUUACUGCAGGCAUAACACUUGCUUUAAAAUUACUUCUGAAUUGGUGAGGAGCUAAAGAAUAGGAAGUGAUCCCAACACAAUAGGAAAUUAUAGCACAGUGCCAUGUCAUGUCUUCCUCCUUUGUCUUGCUGCUGCAGGGCACAUUGUUAAGGAAUGUGCAAGCAGGUGAUUAUACCCUGUAGUAAUAAAGAUUGAAGUUUUACUUUUAAACUGUACCUGACAUGAAACACUGGUGAAACGCAAUUUUUACCCUUUAUAUGAUCCUAUUGAGAUGUUGUUCUUCAACUAAGCUUUGGCAACCGCAAGGUUUAGCCUGAUUCAGGAGUUCAGAACUGUCACUGUGUGCUCACACUCUCCCGAGCCAGAGUCUUUGAAAUAGAGGGCACAUUCACGCAAAGAGUAUAAGAUCAUCUUCUAGUUUUACACAGCAAAGGAGAUGAAAAAUCAGGAGAAGAAAUCUAUAUUGUUGAACAAAAGUCAGAAUAAUCCCUCACCCACAGAGUCCUGAAGCAGAUGUGUAAGUUUGCUGUUCCGAUAUGGGACGUGAGCUCGCUGCUCUGCUAUUGCUCCCAGAACGUCGGCCAGGGCGGACAGGCUGCGGUUAAUGAAGGAAGUCUCUCUCAGUGCUGCUCCUGUCACUCCAGACAUACCUGGUACAGUGUAGAAAAAGGCACUGGUAACAGUAAGCAAAUCUGCUUCAAAACUGUAAUGUGGAGGAAAAGUUAAAGAAGAUUCAAUGUCUACAGAUGGUCCAAAACAUCUCAUGUUAAAGUUGAUCUCUGCAGAUGUACAAUGCAUUUUUUGCUCCAUAGGUAUUAAGAACAAGGAACCAAGAAAGUUUAGAUUAGACAAGACAA